AACUCUUGACAUCCAGAGAAGAGGCUAGAGAUAGCUUUGUGCCUUCGGGAGCUCUGAGAC
Molecule: ribosomal RNA, 60 nt
Filed under: uncultured bacterium
Lineage: Bacteria
Description: partial 16S ribosomal RNA
Source: RNAcentral